UUCAUUGCGUAGUUAGGAUAGUUGGCGCCUCUCAGCUCGACGGGGUUGGACUCGUCUGACUGGUAUGAGAAGACGUUGGUUGGACCGCACUGAUCCUGCAGGUCGUAUCCGAAGAAGCCGAGUCUGCCCCAUGCUUCCUUGUGCAGCAGCAUGGACAGGUACCAGCCAGCCAGACCGAUCUGGGAGUGGCCGGUUGCCAGGCCAGCGCCGAUACCGGAGCAGGCAGCAAGCACGGAUGCCCUCUGAGACCCGCCGAAGUGAUCCUCAAGCAGGGUUGGGAAGGACUCGUACUGCUCAAUGCCGUACAGAGUAGCCUCUGUGGCGAUAUCCUUGGCAGUCUCGACAGUUGCGGGUGCCUUUGCAAAGCCGCCGAACUUGUCUACUGCGUAGUCAGCUGCGU
This 400-nucleotide unclassified non-coding RNA is filed under the name uncultured bacterium. RNAcentral describes it as "contains 16S-23S intergenic spacer region". The record is from RNAcentral.